GACGAACGCUGGCGGCGUGCCUAAUACAUGCAAGUCGAACGGUUUAGUUCCAAGAGGCUUGCCUUUUGGAACUAGACAGUGGCGGACGGGUGAGUAACACGUAGGCAACCUACCUGUCAAACCGGGAUAACCUCGGGAAACCGAAGCUAAACCCGGAUAAGCUCCUUUUUCGCAUGAAGGGGGAGUGAAAAGGUGCGACCUGAGGACAGAUGGGCCUGCGGCGCAUUAGCUAGUAGGUAGGGGAACGGCCUACCUAGGCGAUGAUGCGUAGCCGACCGGAGGGGGCGCACGGCCACACUGGGACUGCGAUACGGCCCAGACUCCUACGGGAGGGAGCAGUAGGGAAUCUUCGGCACUGGGCGAAAGCCUGACCGAGCAACGCCGCGUGAGUGAGGAAGGCCUUCGGGUUGUAAAACUCUGUUGUUUGGGAAGAAGGGAAAGGGUAGGACCCUUUGGUGACGGUACCAAACGAGAAAGCCCCGGCUAACUACGUG
This 494-nucleotide ribosomal RNA is filed under the name uncultured bacterium. Its description in RNAcentral is "partial 16S ribosomal RNA". It matches the Rfam family "Bacterial small subunit ribosomal RNA", at positions 28 to 507 of the family's 1533-position model. The record is from RNAcentral.